Molecule: long non-coding RNA, 1008 nt
Organism: Astatotilapia calliptera (eastern happy)
Lineage: Eukaryota; Metazoa; Chordata; Actinopteri; Cichliformes; Cichlidae
Source: Ensembl
AUUUACAUGCAAAAAACAACAUAAGUCACGGAAAAGCAAAUCAUGCCAAAACAGGGAGUCCAUAAACAGUUUGGGAAUUAUUAGGGAAUGAUGCGCAGGGCCCGUGCCUGGCGAUGGGCACACGUUUAGAAACAGUGAGAGGAAAACAAUGGAGAAGUUGUGUUUGUGAAGAUUUGGGGCCAAAGAAGAAGAAGAAAAAAAACUUGUAUCGCUUUCCCACUUGGCACGGAUACGGUUUCGGGAGUCGACAACAUGUUAAACUGCAGAUGGACCACAACUAAGAAAAGGUGCUUGGAUGUGUAACAGCUACCCGUGGAGUUUCCAAUGCGUGUGUGAGAGCCGUAACAAAAGACAUGAACAAUGGCAGAAAGCGAGGAGAAGAAUGCGGCUGUGUAUCGCAGCGUCUCUUUCAGAAAGCUGGGGCCCUGGGUCGCCAACAGGAGGGAAGAGCAGCCACACAAAUCAGGGGAUUUGGAGGCAGUUGGCGUCGCCCUUCCCCCGGAGCCCAGCAAAGCAGAGCAGCCCUUGACGACGACGACGCGUAAUGUCAGUGUGUCAAGAAAAGUUUCCAAAAUCUCUGCCACCACCGCCAGCCUCCUAACCGCAGAGCCAAAGAGAGGCUCUCCCUCUCUUCUCUCCUUCAUUUCUCCAUCCAUCCGCGAGCUGACUGAGAAGUUCAGCAACAGCAGGAGGAGUAACAGCAGCGGCUCCGCCAGGACGCACACAGCCUCGCCGGGAGACUGUGCAGCGGACACGCGGGGGAGCAGCACUUUUCCCCGGGCCCGAGGCUCCAGGAGUGACAGGGUUCCACCUGGGAAAACUUUUCACGAGGACAGCGGCGGUGUCGGUGGUGGAUAUUUCCAGGACAGUGACAGCGCAACAGCAGAGGCGCUUAAGUUUCACUCGGGCACCGACUCUGUGUCAGGCUCAGACUCGGACAGGAAAAGCGACAAGCGGAUUUUUAGAAGUUUAUCAAGCGACAGCGGCGGCAAGUCGGGUAAGAGAGAC